GAUGAACGCUGGCGGCGUGCUUAACACAUGCAAGUCGAACGAUGAAGCCCAGCUUGCUGGGUGGAUUAGUGGCGAACGGGUGAGUAACACGUGAGUAACCUGCCCUUAACUCUGGGAUAAGCCUGGGAAACUGGGUCUAAUACCGGAUAGGAGCGUCCACCGCAUGGUGGGUGUUGGAAAGAUUUAUCGGUUUUGGAUGGACUCGCGGCCUAUCAGCUUGUUGGUGAGGUAAUGGCUCACCAAGGCGACGACGGGUAGCCGGCCUGAGAGGGUGACCGGCCCACCGGGGACUGGGAAACGGCCCAGCCCCCUACGGGGGGAAGGGGGGGGGAAUAUUGCAAAAGGGGCGCAAGCCUGAUGCAGCGACCCCGGGGGGGGGAUGACGGCUUUCGGGUUGUAAACCUCUUUCAGUAGGGAAGAAGCGAAAGUGACGGUACCUGCAGAAGAAGCACCGGCAAACUACGU
Molecule: ribosomal RNA, 465 nt
Filed under: uncultured bacterium
Lineage: Bacteria
Description: partial 16S ribosomal RNA
Rfam family: Bacterial small subunit ribosomal RNA
Source: RNAcentral